AUCAUGCAAGUCGAGCGAAUGAUGAGGAGCUUGCUCCUCUGAUUUAGCGGCGGACGGGUGAGUAACACGUGGGUAAUCUGCCUGUAAGACGGGGAUAACUCCGGGAAACCGGGGCUAAUACCGGAUAAUAAGAGAAGAAGCAUUUCUUCUUUUUGAAAGUCGGUUUCGGCUGACACUUACAGAUGAGCCCGCGGCGCAUUAGCUAGUUGGUGAGGUAACGGCUCACCAAGGCGACGAUGCGUAGCCGACCUGAGAGGGUGAUCGGCCACACUGGGACUGAGACACGGCCCAGACUCCUACGGGAGGCAGCAGUAGGGAAUCUUCGGCAAUGGGCGAAAGCCUGACCGAGCAACGCCGCGUGAGCGAUGAAGGCCUUCGGGUCGUAAAGCUCUGUUGUUAGAGAAGAACAAGUACGAGAGUAACUGCUCGUACCUUGACGGUACCUAACCAGAAAGCCACGGCUAACUACGUGCCAGCAGCCGCGGUAAUACGUAGGUGGCAAGCGUUAUCCGGAAUUAUUGGGCGUAAAGCGCGCGCAGGCGGUCUCUUAAGUCUGAUGUGAAAGCCCACGGCUCAACCGUGGAGGGUCAUUGGAAACUGGGAGACUUGAGUGCAGGAGAGAAAAGUGGAAUUCCACGUGUAGCGGUGAAAUGCGUAGAGAUGUGGAGGAACACCAGUGGCGAAGGCGGCUUUUUGGCCUGUAACUGACGCUGAGGCGCGAAAGCGUGGGGAGCAAACAGGAUUAGAUACCCUGGUAGUCCACGCCGUAAACGAUGAGUGCUAGGUGUUGGGGGGGUUCCACCCUCAGUGCUGAAGUUAACACAUUAAGCACUCCGCCUGGGGAGUACGACCGCAAGGUUGAACUCAAGGAAUUGACGGGGCCCGCACAAGCAGUGGAGCAUGUGUUUAUUCGAGCACGCGAGGACCUUAACAAGGUCUGACUCCUCUGACACUCUAGAGAUGAGCUUCCCUUCGGGGACGGAGGGACAGUGUGCAUGCUGUCGUCAGCUCGUGUCUGAGAUGUAGUAGUUCGCACAGGCCACCUGACUAGUGCAGCAUCAGUGGACCUAGUAUGCGUGCAUUCGAGAUAGGGGAUGAGGUCA
This 1103-nucleotide ribosomal RNA is filed under the name Bacillus sp. R51. RNAcentral describes it as "bacterial SSU rRNA". It matches the Rfam family "Bacterial small subunit ribosomal RNA", at positions 52 to 1187 of the family's 1533-position model. Lineage: Bacteria; Bacillati; Bacillota; Bacilli; Caryophanales; Bacillaceae. The record is from RNAcentral.